Molecule: long non-coding RNA, 7769 nt
Filed under: Solanum tuberosum (potato)
Lineage: Eukaryota; Viridiplantae; Streptophyta; Magnoliopsida; Solanales; Solanaceae
Description: long non-coding RNA (STUB_LNC001176)
Source: RNAcentral
CAGGUCCAAGUCUCAAAGGACCCUCUGGGACAACCGAGAUGCAAUUUUACUGUCUGGGAUGUGGUCAUGCCUCGGAAAUGUUUGGCUUCAUUAAGGAUGUGUUCAUAUCUUGUGCGAAUGAAUGGGGUGAGGAGACCCUGAUAAAAGAGCUUGAUUAUGUUCGGAAAAUCUUCCAAGGGAGUGAAGAUUUUAAAGGCAAGGAGUUACAUGUUAAGGCAGAUGUCUUGCAUACAAAGCUAGCUACAAAGAUGAUUUCCCCUUCAGACGCCUGCAAUUUUAUAUUUCAGUUUUUCAGCGGUAAGUAUACAAACCAAUUCAUUUUAUCUUAUUUGCAUAAGAACAAGUCUUUAUUUUACAAUGUUCUGGUUUUCCUUAUGUUAUACUCAUUCCUAUUUUUUAUUUUUGGUGCACAAACCAUGAAAGGGAAUAUUAAGUUAGAAAUAGUUGCUACCUAAAUCGUUAUAUUAAUUCCGUUUGAAAUGGUUGUGUUGGUAUAUAUACAAUUAACCAUGCGUUUAGAUAACCACAAUUGACAGUAGGGGCAGUGAGAUGUCAUUCUCUGACUUCUGUCUUGCAUUUGUCAACUUGAAUAUUACUGAAUCCCCUUGUAGCUCGCUUACAGUUACUAGAAAUCUAUAGUCUAUGGGUGAUAAUAGAUGGACCUUUACUAGCCUAACCCUAGAAGCUAGCUCAUGAGGUUAGAAUUAUUUGAUAUCAUAUAAGAAGACCAAUUCCACAUUACACAAUCGAUCUGGGCACAUAUCUUCCCCCAACUUGCCAACUGGAGUGUGGACAACAUAAUUGGGGACCCAACACCGGGUAAACCUAGAGUUUGGGAUGUGCUUGACUCUAAUGCCAUAAUAAGGAAAUAUGGAUCUUGAGAAAAACUCAACCCUGAAAGCUAGCGGAUAAGUUGAGCAUUGUGUAAGACCAUACAAGGAAACCAAUUCCACAUCCCACAAUCGGUAUGGGACACUUAGCAAUGGGCAAGUUUAUUAAAUUGUUCAUGGUUUUUUACUUCAAGAAUGAUUUAUUUCCUAGUAGCAAUUUGUGAUAAAUGUUCUAUUUUCCUACUUAUAGGCCUGAAUUUUUUCUAUUUUCAAGUAUUGCGCUUCUUUAACCUCUAUGAAUUUAAAAGAAUUAGAGAUUCUCAACGGAAACACUUUUCCCAGUCUCCCUUAGUUCCUUAGCGUCCACUACAUGUUUCAUUGACACAAAACGUGUCAUUUCUUAACUAAUUAUAUUUUUCUUUAAUUAACAGGCAAUAACGAAUUGCCAAACUUAAGUAAUCGCUAUUCUUGGAAAGCUUGUAGUUACUGAUUUUCCUGCCUCUACUUUUCUUAUUCCCAAUUCCUCAUUCUAUGACAUGAACUUUUCAAGCAGACAAAAAGAUAUGAGGCCUUUUGAUCCUUUUAUAAAUGAUUUUAACGCUUCUUUCACAGCUAUCAAAACGAUUGAAGAUGAACGGUCAGUGAAACGAUCGAAGAAAGAUGAGGUCGAUGGCUUGGGAAGCAUUGUACGCAUCAAAGAAUUAGAGGCACAACUGUUUCAGAGUCGUGCAGCUGAUGCACGAGGAGAGGCAGUGAGUUUAAGGCGGUUGGCUCGGCUGGAGAGUAAGAAACUGAACGAAAUGUAUUAUGAAAAACUCUCCAAAUUGCGCUUGCAGGAAACGGAGGAAAGGAGGAGGAAAAAAUUGGAAGAGCUUAAAACCUUGGAGAAUUCUCAUUCCUGUUAUUGUGAGAUGAAGAUGAAAUUGGAUACGGAGGUUGCAUGCUUAUUAAACAAAAUGGAAGCCGUCAAACGGCUAUUGGUAUAGCAUAAUCUCUUGUCAGUUUCUCUAGUAAUUGUGAUAGCUACUUAGUUUCCUUGUUGCAAAUAUUUAAUAGUAAAUGGUUGGUGAACUAUUAUAAGUCUUUGAAAUACCUUUAAGUUACAAUGUUUGGUUCAUUUGUUUUUUCCAUAUAAAACUUAGCAUUAUUCAAUACAAUGUUUGGUUUUAGUUUUCUUUUCCGCAUGACUAAUACAUGUAUAAGGUAUGCUGGAAUCUAUUUAUUAUUUUAUAUGCAGGAUAGUGUAUGGAAUAAGAAUGCGAGGAUUAAUAAUAAAUCGGGCGUAAUUACUAAUCUUGUAUAAGGUACGAUGAAAUCUAUAUAUUAUUUUAUGUAGGAUAGUAUAUUGAAUAAGAAUAUGAGGAUUAGUAAUAACCUGUGCUUUACUAAUCCUCGCAUAACUUGCUUCUAAACCAAGUGAUCCUUCAAAUAGUUGACUAUUUCCUUUUUAGCUCAGUGGUUUAUUGUUAUGAAAUUUGUGUUGAUGUUCACUUUGGGAUUUGGAAAACCAUAUGCUAUAUUACCUUUGGCACAGUUGGAGUCUUGAUGUUCAGAAGUAUUGAACUUACUAUCUAACACUGCCACAUUUUGUAGGAGUUUUUAGAGUUACAUGUAUGUUUUCCCAAAAUAUUACUUAUUCCGUCCCAAUUUAUGUAAUGCACUUUAACUGAGAUCGGAGACGGAUUCAAAAUUUGAUAGGUUCUGGAGUAUAUUAUAUAUACAUAUUUAGUGAUUUUUUCAACAAAUAUAUUAGGAUUGGACCGAAGUUAUUAAGUUUUGUCGAGCCUGUAUUUCCCAUGCUAGCUCCGACCUUGACUCAGACGAAGUUUAAGAAAGAAAAAAUACUUUUGAAAUUUGUGGUCUAAAACAAACCAUAAAUAUUUGUAUGACUAUAAAUUAUCUCAUUAAGGAUAAAAUAAAAAGUUUAAAAGUUAGAUUUCUAAACGUAGAAAAAUUUCCUUCUUUUGGUAUAGACUAAAAAAGAAAAUAUAUCACAUAAAGAAGCUUAGAGAAACUUAGAUUCUGAUUCUGAUCAAAAUAUCUGUGCAUUAGAUGCAUAUAUAUAUUAGUGAUUACAUUUCUGAUUCUGAUUCUGAACAACUUAUCCCCGCAUUCUUAUUCAAUACACUAUCCCACAUAAAAUAAUAUAUAGUUUCUAGCAAGGAAGUGAUUAGGCUAUACCAGUAGUUGUUUAGCUGCUUCCAUUCUGUUUAAUAAGCCUGCUAUCUCCAUAUCUGUUCUCAUUUACAUAUAAUUAUAAUCGAAAUGAGCAUUCUCAAAAGGUCUUAAUUGCUCCUCCUUUCCUCUGGUUCUUGCAAGCACAAUUUGGAGAGUUUUUCAUAAUACGCUUUGUUCAGUUUCUUACUCUCCCGCCAAGCCAACCACUUUAAACUCACUGCCUCUCCUCGUGCAUCAUCUGCACAACUCUGAAACAUUCGUGUCUCUGCUUCUUUGAUGUGUACAAUGCUUCCAAAGCUAUUGGCCUCAUCUUUCUUCGAUCGUUUCACUGACCAUUGAUCUUCAACGUUUUCAUAGUUGUGAAAGAAGUGUUAAUAUUAUUUGGACAAGGAUCAACAGGUCUCAUAUCUUUUUGUUCGCUUGAAGAGCUUGUGUCAUAGAAUUUGGAUUUGGGAAUAAGGGAGGUCGAUGCAGUAAGAUCAGUAACUGCAUGUUUUCCAAGACUAGUUGGAUUACUAAAGUCUGACAGUCCGUCGCUGCCAGUUAAUUAAAGAAAAUAUAAAUUAGUAAAGAAAUGACAUGUUUUGUGUCAAUGAAACAUGAAGUGGACGCUGAAGAACUAAGGUGGGAAAAGUGUUUCCGCUGAUACUCUCUAAUUCUUCUUAAUUCAUAGAGGUUAAAGAAGAGCAAUAAUUGAAAAUUGAAAAAAUUCAAUACGCUUAUAAGUAGGAAAAUAGAACAUUAAACACAAAUUGCAACUGGGAAAUAAUUCCUUCUGUAAGUACAAUACCAUGUACAAUUGAAUAAAUUUGCCCAUUGCUAAGUGUCCCACACCGGUUGAGGGAUGUAUAAUUGGUUUACUUAAAGGGUCUUGCACCAUCAGCUAGCUUUUGGGGUUAAGUUUUUCCCAGGAUCCAUUUUUUUUACAAAAUUGUCAAAUCUUGUUUCCUAUUAUGGGGUAAUUUUUAUAAUACUUCCUCCAUCUCAAAAUUAUCUGUGGUAUGUCUCUUUUACCUUCCCUUUAAGAAAUCAUUAAUUAAAAGGUUUUUAUUUUUACUAUUUUAUUCUCAUCUAUGUCUUAAGAUAUAAUUUCUCUUCGUUAAAUAAUUAUUCGGGUGUUUAUAGUCUUCAAGAAGCCUAUAGUCUAUGGGCAAGUUAAUUAAAUUGUUCAUGGUGUUUGUAUUUGUUAGAAUGAUUUAUAUCCUAGUUGUAUUUUGCAUAUAUGUUCUAUUUUCCUACUUAUAAGCAUGCUGAAUGUUUUUCAUUCUUCUUGUAGUCAUACUUCUAUAAACUCUUGAACGAAGAGAGGGACAUAGACAUUGUGCUGGGGAUUUGGAGCACUCAGAGAAGCAUCACAAUUGUUGGUAUUGUAGGUGUAUAAAUGUUGAGGAGGGUGCUUUUCGUAGGAUGCGUAUGGCUAGAACGAUCGGGCCGACGAGAUCCCAGUGGAAUUUUGGAAGAGCACAGGCUGGGUAGGUAUGGUGCGGCUGUCUAAGUUGUUUUCAAGACGGCGAGGGUGCCCGAUGCAUGGAGUACAAUGAUUCCGUUGUUCAAGAACAAGGGUGACUUUUAGAAUUUUUACAACUAUAGGGGUAACAAGCUGUUAAACCACACUAUGAAUGCGUGGUAGAGAGUGGUGGAGAUGAGGGUGAGGAGGGAUGUGGCUAUUUUCGAGAACCAGAUCGGAUUCAUGCCGGGGCACGCUACUACAUAAAUCAUUUGUCUCGUAAGGAGGGAGGAAGUAGGACUUUCAUAUGCUUAGAAGCUAGCUCAAGAUAUAUUCUUUUGGAAAUUGGUUUUGUGCUUCAAGGAGAGAUCAAUAACUGAGAUAAUCUGUCAGGAAAGAGUUGUAGUGACAAAUUACACAGUUAUACUUGCAUAUAUUAGAAAGGUCACAUUCUUGAGAUGUCUACAGGAGGAAUCAACUUGCUAUAGGUAAAAAAAGGUUUAUCUGUACGAUUAGAGUCAGUUACCUCAUAUUUUUCUUCUUAUUAGCAGAGUAGGUGAGGCUUCUGGUCUUGAUAUCCUUGAGUUUAUAUAUAUUCCAGUAACUAACCUCAGAGGUUCUUGGUGAGUUUAAAAAUGACGUCGGUGGUCGGUCCUUCUGAUGCACUAUGUUAUUCCUGAGUACCACUUUCUUAUGUGAACAUUAGUAUAAUGCUAGACUCGUGUAGAUCUACUGAUUUGGCACGGCGAAAUUUUCUUGGUUAUACAAUUGUACACUCAUGACUCAACUGAGCAUAAUUUUGGCUUCUGCACACACACAUAUAAAAAAAUGCUACUUUUUUUACGAAUGCCUCAUGCUACAACCCCUCUCUUGGAGCUGCCAAUAUAAGUUGACUACCAAUUACGUAUCUUAAGACGUCUUAUUAAGAGAAUACAACAGUACACUUGCAUAAACUUCAGACUUCUAUUUUUCCCAUGCAUCAUCUAGUCAUCAUUAUGUGCUCAAGAACUGCUUUUAGCUGUCUUUUGAUGUUGAUCUGUGUUCAUGUCAUCAGCACAUGAAAAAUGCUUACCUGUGCUCCGAUAUGGUGGUGGUAACCUUGACAAAUGGUGAGUCGAAACGUGUUGAAGCUAUCUGAUCAAGAGACACAUUAAGAGAAGCAAUGGAAGUGUUAAGAAACAUGUUUGGGCCUGACAUUCUCAAUACCACUGACAUAUUAGUCCCACGUUGGUGGAAUAAUCGGUUUCAGCAUGGUAGCUAUACAGUAAUUACCUCAUAUAUGCAAAUCAUCAACUUGUCCAUGAUAUUAAGGUUAGCAAUCUUCUUCUUUUCUCGUUUGACAAUAGUAAUUUUACAGUGUCCAAUCUAAACAAAUUUACAUAAUUUUGAAUUAUUGACACGAGACUGUAUUGACAAUCUUGAUUAAGUUGUGCAAUUGUGUCAUUUGCGAGUCCUUUAUGUCAAGAUUACAUAGAACAGGAUCGUCUUCACCAGUAUAGUGACCAUUGUUCAGAGACUACAACUAGUAUAUGUGAGACUAGAAAAUGCCAAUGAAUCGAUGUGAAAUCGAUAGAAUGAGACUUCUCAUUGAGCUGUAGGCUUUAAGAAGUCCCACAUCGGGGAAUGGAUGGGAAAUUGAUCUCCUUAUAUGGACUUGGACAAACCUCCCGUCAUGAGAUAGCUUUUGGGGUUGAGUUAGACCCAAAUGCCAUAUCUUUACGGUAGUAGCACAUAUUGUUGUGUUGAUUGCUGAUAUACACGAUUUUAUUUAAAACCCAAUGAUAAUUUAAGUUCUGGACUUCAACGCGCUAAACAUGUUACUGAUUUCUUAGAGUAUUUUGCAUGAGAUAAUUGAGGGAAAAUAGAGGGAAAGAAUGAACAAAAAAAUAGAUACUCAAAAUAAAAAAUCUCUGGAGAAAAUAAUCACUAUCAGAUUCCAUCUAACAAACUACUUUGAAAUUAUCCUCAGACAUAACAAACCAUUUUUGUCAUUUUGCUAGUGUCUAUCUGUAAAGACAGAUAGGAUUUUGCUUUAGUAUAAAAAAGGUGUGAAAAUAUUUUUACCCAGAGAGAAAUUCAGAGGACAAAUUUCUGAAGUUCUUCCUUCCAAUCUGUCAGUUUUUUAACCUCUCUGCAAUUUUUAUUCUUCUAGAUAUAAUGGUUAGUGGUCAGUCAGAUGCUUUGAGAGGAAGAGGUUCGGGAUAUUUGAAACGUUAUGGAGGAAAUGCACAUAAGCUUGCUAGGCAAGAGAAUUGCGGAAAAGGAACUAUUCGAUCAGUUCAUAGCAGGUUUAGGCCAAUUGGUGACGGUGGUGUUGCAUUGUCAAACCAUGUUGGUGGAACAUGGUUUGACAGUCGAGUGGUCAAUAAGGAAACAUGUAGUGAUCGUAUUCAUAGGACUACAAGCUCGGAUAACAAUUCAAUUUUCCUAUCCGACUUGUCUGCAAGGCCUAGAGUUGUUGACGGUCAGUCAAGGGAUUCGAGGAAAAGAGGCUCGGGAUAUUUGAAACUUUUGGAGAAAAGGGAUGGAGGAAAAGCAUACGAGGUUUCUAGGCAACAGAAAUUACUUAGAAGAAUAGUGUCAGAGCCUAUUCCUCUUAUGGCUCAGAUUGUGCAACAGCUUGAUGACGAAACAGUUGAAUCAACAAAAGAAUACUUGAGUAACCUAAUAACAAUGCCGGAAAGGAUAUAUGAGUUCAUUAGUCUUCAAAACAGACUCGAUGAGAGAUCUGAUCUUACCAAUCGGACUCUCUUGAACUGCCAUAAGAUCCAACUAGAAUUUUUGGUUUCAAUAAGAACAGGUCUUGGAAGCUUCUUAUCGAAAAACACCCGCCUUCUAACAUCAGAAUUGGUUGAAAUUUUCUUACUUGAAAGGUGUCGAAACAUUAAUUGCAGGAGGCUUUUGCCUAUUGAGGAUCGCGGUUGCAAGAUUUGUUCAACGAAGAAGGGAUUCUGCAGCGAAUGCAUGUGUCUUGUGUGUCUGAAAUUCGACUGUGCCAAUAAUACUUGCAGUUGGGUAGGGUGUGAUGCAUGCUUGCAUUGGUGUCAUGCUGUUUGUGGUAUUCGUCAAAAUCUUAUAAAGCCAGGUCCAAGUCUCAAAGGACCCUCCGGGACAACCGAGAUGCAAUUUUACUGUCUGGGAUGUGGUCAUGCCUCGGAAAUGUUUGGCUUCAUUAAGGACGUGUUCAUGUCUUCUGCAAAUGAAUGGGGUGAGGAGACCCUGAUGAAAGAGCUUGAUUAUGUUCGGAAAAUCUUCCAAGGGAGUGAAGAUUUUAAAGGCAAGGAGUUGCAUGUUAAGGCAGAUGUCUUGCAUAC